CCCCAGCACUGCCGAGGCCACCACUGACCCAUGUCCCCAGGUGCCACAUCCACACACCUUUUCCAGCCCUCCAGGUGAGAUGUGGGCGUGCACUGUGUUCCAGGGAAGCCUUUUCUCAGCUCACCAGAGCUGCUGUGGAUGAAAUGAACUGGGCACGGCGUUCCCGCUGCGGAGGCACACCGGCGCAAUCGCUUCCAGAUUGCUCCCAGUGCCACGGGAACCCGCAGCUCUGGCGGCCCCGGCACAGCACAGGGGUGUUGUGUGCUCUCCUGGGGACUGGCUGCAACCACGGGGGGACCUCCUGCAGGAAUAAACACCCCCUGAAGCAUGGGGGCCUCCAGUACAGUGGGGUCUGGGAAGGAGACCCGAGCCAUCCUUGGACAAGCUGUCACUGCCCAGAAUCACCUGGUUAUUCACCCAAAGGGAGCUGCUGGAGAAAUGCCACCUCGUGCCCCUGCAGGGGCUGGCAGAGCCCAGGUCCCUCGGCAGCUCCUGAAGUCACAGAUGCUCCGAGAUAACCCACAGGCUGGACCGUCUGCCCAUGCAAGGGAGAUGAUCCAUGAAUCCCCGGCAUUUAUCCCGCUCCACGACACUCAGCAAUCUUUAUUUACACUGCUGACAACUG
Molecule: long non-coding RNA, 625 nt
Organism: Corapipo altera (White-ruffed manakin)
Lineage: Eukaryota; Metazoa; Chordata; Aves; Passeriformes; Pipridae
Exons: 2
Source: RefSeq, a predicted model, not a curated record